This 484-nucleotide ribosomal RNA is filed under the name uncultured bacterium. RNAcentral's name for it is "partial 16S ribosomal RNA". It matches the Rfam family "Bacterial small subunit ribosomal RNA", at positions 29 to 507 of the family's 1533-position model. The record is from RNAcentral.
AUUGAACGCUGGCGGCAUGCUUUACACAUGCAAGUCGAACGGCAGCGCGGGCUUCGGCCUGGCUGCGAGUGGCGAACGGGUGAGUAAUGCAUCGGAACGUGCCCAGUAGUGGGGGAUAGCCCGGCGAAAGCCGGAUUAAUACCGCAUACGACCUGAGGGUGAAAGCGGAGGACCGAAAGGCCUCGCGCUAUUGGAGCGGCCGAUGUCGGAUUAGCUAGUUGGUGGGGUAAAGGCUUACCAAGGCGACGAUCCGUAGCUGGUCUGAGAGGACGACCAGCCACACUGGGACUGAGACACGGCCCAGACUCCUACGGGAGGCAGCAGUGGGGAAUUUUGGACAAUGGGGGCAACCCUGAUCCAGCCAUGCCGCGUGCGGGAAGAAGGCCUUCGGGUUGUAAACCGCUUUUGUUCGGGAAGAAAUCCUCUGGGCUAAUACCCCGGGGGGAUGACGGUACCGGAAGAAUAAGCACCGGCUAACUACGUG